CCUACGGGAGGCAGCAGUGAGGAAUCUUUGUCAAUGGCCGUAAGGCUGAACCAGCCAAGUCGCGUGGAGGAAGAAGGAUCUUUGGUUUGUAAACUUCUUUUAUAGGGGAAUAAAUGUAUCCACGUGUGGCUAUUUGCAUGUACCCUAUUAAUAAGCAUCGGCUAACUCCGUGCCAGCAGCCGUGGUAAUACGGAGGAUGCGAGCGUUAUCCGGAUUUAUUGGGUUUAAAGGGCGCGUAGGUUGUGUUUUAAGUCAGCGGUGAAAGUUUGUGGCUCAACCAUAAAAUUGCCGUUGAAACUGGAAGACUUGAGUGUGUUUGAGGUAGGCGGAAUGCGUGGUGUAGCGGUGAAAUGCAUAGAUAUCACGCAGAACUCCGAUUGCGAAGGCAGCUUACUAAGCAAUAACUGACGCUGAAGCACGAAGGCGUGGGGAUCAAACGGGAUUAGAUACCCGAGUAGUC
This 460-nucleotide ribosomal RNA is filed under the name uncultured bacterium. RNAcentral's name for it is "partial 16S ribosomal RNA". It matches the Rfam family "Bacterial small subunit ribosomal RNA", at positions 338 to 795 of the family's 1533-position model. The record is from RNAcentral.